GAUUAACGCUGGCGGCGUGCAUAACACAUGCAAGUCGAACGAUGAAACUCAUUAGAUUUCUUCGGAAUGAAAAUGAAUGGAUUAGUGGCGAACGGGUGAGUAACGCGUGAGUAACCUGCCUUACACAAGGGGAUAGCCUCUGGAAACGGAGAAUAAUACCCUAUGAAACCAGACAAUCGCAUGAUAAUCUGGUCAAAAUGUUUAGUGGUGUAAGAUGGACUUGCGUCUGAUUAGCUAGUUGGUGAGAUAAAAGCUCACCAAGGCAACGAUCAGUAGCCGGCUUGAGAGAGUGGACGGCCACAUUGGGACUGAGACACGGCCCAGACUCCUACGGGAGGCAGCAGUGGGGAAUUUUGCACAAUGGGGGAAACCCUGAUGCAGCGACGCCGCGUGAUUUAGAAGGCCUUCGGGUUGUAAAAAUCUUUUGUAUAGGAAGAAAAUGACAGUACUAUACGAAUAAGGUCCGGCUAAUUACGUG
Molecule: ribosomal RNA, 478 nt
Filed under: uncultured bacterium
Lineage: Bacteria
Description: partial 16S ribosomal RNA
Rfam family: Bacterial small subunit ribosomal RNA
Source: RNAcentral